Molecule: ribosomal RNA, 610 nt
Filed under: Desulfovibrio psychrotolerans
Lineage: Bacteria; Pseudomonadati; Thermodesulfobacteriota; Desulfovibrionia; Desulfovibrionales; Desulfovibrionaceae
Description: bacterial SSU rRNA
Rfam family: Bacterial small subunit ribosomal RNA
Source: RNAcentral
CCUUGAGGCGUGGCUUCCGGAGCUAACGCGUUAAGUCGACCGCCUGGGGAGUACGGCCGCAAGGUUAAAACUCAAAUGAAUUGACGGGGGCCCGCACAAGCGGUGGAGCAUGUGGUUUAAUUCGAUGCAACGCGAAGAACCUUACCUACUCUUGACAUCCAGGGAACUUAGCAGAGAUGCUUUGGUGCCUUCGGGAACUGUGAGACAGGUGCUGCAUGGCUGUCGUCAGCUCGUGUUGUGAAAUGUUGGGUUAAGUCCCGCAACGAGCGCAACCCUUAUCCUUUGUUGCCAGCGGUUCGGCCGGGAACUCAAAGGAGACUGCCAGUGAUAAACUGGAGGAAGGUGGGGAUGACGUCAAGUCAUCAUGGCCCUUACGAGUAGGGCUACACACGUGCUACAAUGGCAUAUACAAAGAGAAGCGACCUCGCGAGAGCAAGCGGACCUCAUAAAGUAUGUCGUAGUCCGGAUUGGAGUCUGCAACUCGACUCCAUGAAGUCGGAAUCGCUAGUAAUCGUGGAUCAGAAUGCCACGGUGAAUACGUUCCCGGGCCUUGUACACACCGCCCGUCACACCAUGGGAGUGGGUUGCAAAAGAAGUAGGUAGCUUAACC